Aethalodelphis obliquidens (Pacific white-sided dolphin) is the source of this 1939-nucleotide long non-coding RNA. RefSeq lists it as uncharacterized. The transcript has 4 exons. The record is from RefSeq and is a predicted model, not a curated record. NCBI's taxonomy places the organism in Eukaryota, Metazoa, Chordata, Mammalia, Artiodactyla, Delphinidae.
UGAUUUAAAAUGCCAGAGGCUCUCUGUUCUUAUUUGAUUCAACCAUUUUUCCUGAAUAAACACUCCUUUGAUGGUUAAAAGCCCAAGUUCUGAAAAAGUAGCUUUUGACAAUUUUUUCCAGUGUUCUCAUUACUUUGUAGAGGAGUGGAUUUUCAGAGGCCCUUCCCCUACCAUUCUGGAAGUAGACCCCCCUUCUUCUGGAUUUCUACUCUGGAGAGCUGGGCACAUUGAGAAUGGGACUCAAGUCAAGCACUUUCAAGCUUAUAUUCUUCUCAAGAUGAAUCUGAGUUGCCUACUUUCCACCCCUUACUUCCAGGAGUCCCAUCCAGAUGUUAAUAAAGGGUCCCUGGAAAUUGUUCUAAUUCUUUGCAGUUGAACAUCUCAGCAAGAAGAUAAAAAGCCCUAGAAUGCUCAAGGCACCGAGGUCCCCUCUGGGACUGCUUCAGACCUGAGGAUGCCAAGUCUGUGUAGUCCACGGCAGGUGGAGGAAGUCCUCCAUGAUCUGGGGUUUAUGGUGUAACAAGGGUACCAGAGCAGCUGUGCUUGGCUCUCAGUAGGAACUUACUUGUCAAACAGGGUUUGGGUCUUUGGUCUGUGACAUCACUGUAACCCCUUCCUGACUCACAGUAAGCACUAUAUAUGAUUUUACCAUUUUUUCCUAUCCUAGGAUAUAGUUUUAUUCCAGUAAUGGACUGAAGGUAAUAACAACAACAACGAAAAAAACCCGAACAUCAUCAUCACCAUCAACUAGGAAAACAAUAACAAAGUGUCUUUAGUAAUAUUUUCAAAACUGGUCUUAUAAUAUGAAGACCUCUUAUCAUUUAUUCAAGGCUUAAUAUGUCAGACAAAUUGCUAAAUACUUUGCCUAUAUAUCUUACACAUUUUACUCUUCAACACAGGUCUCUGAUAUAGAUACUAUUCCCUAGUUACACAGAGGUAGAAUCUUGGGCUGAGAAAGGAAAAGUGAUUUUCCAGAGUCACAUAGCAUCUGCAUGGCUGAAUGGGAGUUUAUCACCUGGUCAUUUUCUUCCAGAGCCAGUGUUGGUAACUACUAAACUCUCUUAUAUCAGUAAUGUAAACAAUUUUUUCUAAACCAGUGAUAUUUCUUAUCAGCAUGACCAUUGACUGAAUCAUUGAGUUGGGAAGGGAAUUGUAUUUUUUCAGCAAUUAUUAAUUUAGGAAUUGUAAUUUGUAAAGAGGCUUGUUCAGGUCAGAGACAUGAUUAACAAAAAUUUACCAGUUUUUAUCUGCCAGUGAUUACAAGUCCUCCUUGUGUGGAAGUUCCUCUCCUUUGUCAGGCCAAGAGGGGAAGGAUAUUUGGCUGUGUGUGGUGAAGACUCUCAGAUGGCAGGGGUAGGAAAGGUGAUUUUUUUCUGCUAUGGGAGAAAACUUGUCUCAGCAUACUGAGGCUGUUAGGUUCUUUAGGAGGUCAAGGCCAUAGAGGGCUCAGCUCCUUCCAAUGGUUAGGAGUCAGGUUUAUAUAUACCAGGAAGACAGGGUCUGAUCAAAUGCAUCUUCCUCUACUUUCUUCUCCCUGCUCCUUUCCCCACCCCACCCCCUAACCCCAUCUCUUUCCUCCAGGAUCACUCUAAGUUGUGUCACUCCCAAGAGAAGUUGCUAAGAUGGCUUUUGUUCCAAGUGGCAUAAGCUGUAUUUCUCCCAGCAUCAGGCAGCCCCUCACCCAAGACAAACUGUGCCGCCCAUCAUGUGCCCUUGGUACUUUUUGAAUGAUUCAGCUUCAUAGGUUGAAUUCAGCCCUGUCUGUGGUUCUCACAGGAACCUCGGUAUUCAACAGCCUGUUUUGAACCAUCCUUCUUCUGCCUGCCCUACUGUCUGUUCUCUGAUUAUCUCUUUGGUACAUGUUCUUGGUCUUAUAAUAUUUGGUAUUCAAAUUUUGUUCUUCUUAAAAUGUUUAAAUAGAAAAAUAUGAUUGCUUUUA